Sinocyclocheilus grahami is the source of this 187-nucleotide long non-coding RNA. RefSeq lists it as uncharacterized. Lineage: Eukaryota; Metazoa; Chordata; Actinopteri; Cypriniformes; Cyprinidae. The record is from RefSeq and is a predicted model, not a curated record. The transcript has 2 exons.
UAUUAGGCUAAUAUUCCUGAGACAGAACAAUGAAUUCCAUAAAGUUGACUAGGUUAAAUUUAGGACUGUUCUUCACUUAAAUUAGCUAAACUGACUUCAAAAGACUGUGGCACAUGGAUGUAUAUGAUGACAGUAAUUGUGCUGACAACAUUCAGUGUGUCAGUCUUGUGCUGACUGUAAAAAAAAA